This 492-nucleotide ribosomal RNA is filed under the name uncultured bacterium. RNAcentral describes it as "partial 16S ribosomal RNA". It matches the Rfam family "Bacterial small subunit ribosomal RNA", at positions 28 to 507 of the family's 1533-position model. The record is from RNAcentral.
GGUGAACGCUGGCGGUAGGCCUAACACAUGCAAGUCGAACGGCAGCACAGUAAGAGCUUGCUCUUACGGUUGGCGAGUGGCGGACGGGUGAGGAAUACAUCGGAAUCUACUUUUUCUUGGGGGAUAACGUAGGGAAACUUACGCUAAUACCGCAUACGACCUACGGGUGAAAGCAGUGGAUCUUCUGACCUUGCGCGAUUGAAUGAGCCGAUUUCGGAUUAGCUAGUUGGCGUGGUAAAGGCCCACCAAGGCGACGAUCCGUAGCUGGUCUGAGAGGAUGAUCAGCCACACUGGAACUGAGACACGGUCCAGACUCCUACGGGAGGCAGCAGUGGGGAAUAUUGGACAAUGGGCGCAAGCCUGAUCCAGCAAUACCGCGUGGGUGAAGAAGGCCUUCGGGUUGUAAAGCCCUUUUGUUGGGAAAGAAAAGCAGCAGGUUAAUACCCCGAUGUUCUGACGGUACCCAAAGAAUAAGCAACGGCUAACUUCGUG